This 68-nucleotide small RNA is filed under the name Rhodococcus sp. 1168. RNAcentral's name for it is "ASdes TB sRNA". It matches the Rfam family "ASdes TB sRNA". The record is from Rfam by way of RNAcentral. Lineage: Bacteria; Bacillati; Actinomycetota; Actinomycetes; Mycobacteriales; Nocardiaceae.
AGAGCGACGGGAUCGACCGCGCGCGUCAAGACCAAGAAGUCGCGCAGCGCUAUCGACUGACGAUUCUC